CCUACGGGGUGCAGCAGUGGGGGAUAUUGCACAAUGGGGGAAACCCUGAUGCAGCGACGCCGCGUGGGUGAAGAAGUAUUUCGGUAUGUAAAGCCCUAUCAGCAGGGAAGAAAGAAGACGGUACCUGACUAAGAAGCCCCGGCUAACUACGUGCCAGCAGCCGCGGUAAUACGUAGGGGGCGAGCGUUAUCCGGAUUCACUGGGUGUAAAGGGAGCGUAGACGGCCGUGCAAGCCAGGAGUGAAAGCCCGGGGCCCAACCCCGGGACUGCUCUUGGAACUGUGCGGCUGGAGUGCGGGAGGGGCAGGCGGAAUUCCUGGUGUAGCGGUGAAAUGCGUAGAUAUCAGGAGGAACACCGGCGGCGAAGGCGGCCUGCUGGACCGCGACUGACGUUGAGGCUCGAAAGCGUGGGGAGCAAACAGGAUUAGAUACCCUAGUAGUC
RNAcentral lists this ribosomal RNA (441 nucleotides) under uncultured bacterium. RNAcentral's name for it is "partial 16S ribosomal RNA". It matches the Rfam family "Bacterial small subunit ribosomal RNA", at positions 338 to 795 of the family's 1533-position model. The record is from RNAcentral.